AGUGAACGCUGGCGGUAGGCCUAACACAUGCAAGUCGAACGGCAGCACAGUAAGAGCUUGCUCUUACGGGUGGCGAGUGGCGGACGGGUGAGGAAUACAUCGGAAUCUACUUUUUCGUGGGGGAUAACGUAGGGAAACUUACGCUAAUACCGCAUACGACCUACGGGUGAGAGCAGGGGAUCUUCGGACCUUGCGCGAUUGAAUGAGCCGAUGUCGGAUUAGCUAGUUGGCGGGGUAAAGGCCCACCAAGGCGACGAUCCGUAGCUGGUCUGAGAGGAUGAUCAGCCACACUGGAACUGAGACACGGUCCAGACUCCUACGGGAGGCAGCAGUGGGGAAUAUUGGACAAUGGGCGCAAGCCUGAUCCAGCCAUACCGCGUGGGUGAAGAAGGCUUUCGGGUUGUAAAGCCCUUUUGUUGGGAAAGAAAAGCAGCAGGUUAAUACCCCGCUGUUCUGACGGUACCCAAAGAAUAAGCACCGGCUAACUUCGUG
This 492-nucleotide ribosomal RNA is filed under the name uncultured bacterium. Its description in RNAcentral is "partial 16S ribosomal RNA". It matches the Rfam family "Bacterial small subunit ribosomal RNA", at positions 29 to 507 of the family's 1533-position model. The record is from RNAcentral.